Lynx canadensis (Canada lynx) is the source of this 171-nucleotide long non-coding RNA. RefSeq lists it as uncharacterized. The record is from RefSeq and is a predicted model, not a curated record. Lineage: Eukaryota; Metazoa; Chordata; Mammalia; Carnivora; Felidae. The transcript is spliced from 4 exons.
GGCCCGUUUGGUUUAGUGUCUGACUCUUGGUUUUGGCUCAGGGCGUGAUCUCACGGUUUCACCAGUUCCAGACUGCGUCGGGCUGUGCGCUGGCAGUGCGAGCCUGCUUGCGAUUUUCACUCUUCCUUUCUCUCUGCCCCUCCCCCACUCAUACUAUUGCCUGUGCACUCA